Long non-coding RNA from Pipistrellus kuhlii (Kuhl's pipistrelle), 193 nucleotides. RefSeq lists it as uncharacterized. Lineage: Eukaryota; Metazoa; Chordata; Mammalia; Chiroptera; Vespertilionidae. The transcript has 2 exons. The record is from RefSeq and is a predicted model, not a curated record.
UGUUGGUGUGUGUCUGUGGUGUGUGUGUGUGUGUGUGUGUGUUGGUGUGUGUCUGUGUGUGUGUGUGUAGGGGUGGGAUCCCCAUUCCUCCCCACCAGGCAGGCCCUCCUGCUCUUGUGCCCAGAUGGUCUCCCCAUUCUGCACCUCUUCCAUCCCACCUUUCUAUUCAACAAACAGCUGGGGGUAAUACUGA